This 742-nucleotide ribosomal RNA is filed under the name uncultured bacterium. RNAcentral describes it as "bacterial SSU rRNA". It matches the Rfam family "Bacterial small subunit ribosomal RNA", at positions 28 to 771 of the family's 1533-position model. The record is from RNAcentral.
GAUGAACGCUGGCGGCGUGCUUAACACAUGCAAGUCGAACGGGAAUUACUUUAUUGAAACUUCGGUCGAUUUAAUUUAAUUCUAGUGGCGGACGGGUGAGUAACGCGUGGGUAACCUGCCUUAUACAGGGGGAUAACAGUCAGAAAUGGCUGCUAAUACCGCAUAAGCGCACAGAGCUGCAUGGCUCAGUGUGUAAAACUCCGGUGGUAUAAGAUGGACCCGCGUUGGAUUAGCUAGUUGGUGGGGUAACGGCCCACCAAGGCGACGAUCCAUAGCCGGCCUGAGAGGGUGAACGGCCACAUUGGGACUGAGACACGGCCCAGACUCCUACGGGAGGCAGCAGUGGGGAAUAUUGCACAAUGGGGGAAACCCUGAUGCAGCGACGCCGCGUGAAGGAAGAAGUAUCUCGGUAUGUAAACUUCUAUCAGCAGGGAAGAUAGUGACGGUACCUGACUAAGAAGCCCCGGCUAACUACGUGCCAGCAGCCGCGGUAAUACGUAGGGGGCAAGCGUUAUCCGGAUUUACUGGGUGUAAAGGGAGCGUAGACGGUGUGGCAAGUCUGAUGUGAAAGGCAUGGGCUCAACCUGUGGACUGCAUUGGAAACUGUCAUACUUGAGUGCCGGAGGGGUAAGCGGAAUUCCUAGUGUAGCGGUGAAAUGCGUAGAUAUUAGGAGGAACACCAGUGGCGAAGGCGGCUUACUGGACGGUAACUGACGUUGAGGCUCGAAAGCGUGGGGAGCUU